Molecule: long non-coding RNA, 5913 nt
Organism: Gadus morhua (Atlantic cod)
Lineage: Eukaryota; Metazoa; Chordata; Actinopteri; Gadiformes; Gadidae
Source: Ensembl
GGCGGUAUAAAGCGAUGAUAUUAAUUUCUAAAUGUUUUUGAUCAACGUUAAUCUAUUAAUGGCACGGGGCUUAUAAUUAUAAUCAGAUGAUCAACGUAUAGGAUAAACCGUGCUGGCAUAUGCCUAUACCCCCUGGUGGCUGAUGUUGCUGUUAUAUUGGUUGUCAAUUCCCCCCCAAAGGAGGGAAGUGAGGAGCUGUGUGUGGGCGGGUAAGAGCCGUCUGAAACGGCGAAUCAAUACUUUAUUAUGCCUCUAAGAGCUCCGCAAUCUGUCCUGAGCGCACUAGCUGACCGGGGGUUAGUUGGUUUUCUGUUGUGUAAACUAAAAGUGGCUACCUGCACACUCGGAAAUCGUGAACUUUCUUUGCACUCUGCCGGCGCCUAGCACUCGGUUCUGCAUGUCUUGGGGCAGGCUUAGAGACGGCGCACACCGACGGGACAUACGGAGUGAGACGGAUGCAUGCAAAGUGGCAGCUGAGCUGAAGCCACAUUUGCUGCACAUUUAAAUCGUACCACCACGUACCACGUUUGGCACAAUAACGGCUGACUUGAACGCACAGCAUGGGCGGAGAACCCCCUGGAGGGAGCAGCAGCAGCAGCGUCGGCGAAAGUGGACAGGAGCAGUACCAGGCUUUAGCCUUCGACACCGCCGUCAGUACUCUAGUGGCUGUAGCCGUGUACGUGGUGGUCAAAGUCAGCCUGGACGGCUUCAGACAGUGGCGCUCCAAGAUCUCCGUGUUAAUAGUGGGCUCGGGACCGAUCGGCCUGACCGCAGCGUUGGUCGCUGUCCGCUCGGGGAAGGUGCUGAAGCUGACAGUGCUCGACGAGCGGUGCCGGAGCGCCCUGCUCUGCCGGCCCCAGCAGAUCGCCCUGGACCCCCGCAGUGUGGGGUUUCUGCUGGGGUUAGGGGUGGACUUUGAUAAUAUGGAGGGGUGCUGGCACAACGAGCACUUUUUCACCAAGAUCGGGGUGUUUCAGGAGUAUUUGUUGAGCAUCUUGGAGCAGAAGAAGCAGAAGGUCGACGUCCGUGUACAGCUGGGAACCAAGUUCACCGAGGAGUACCUGCACCGCCUCCCCCGGCCCCAGUGGCCCCGGGUGCUGGUGGUGGCCGACGGGUCCUGCGGGGACUCCUGCUCCGUGCUGGGCAUCAGCUCCGACUACGCGGUGGAGUCCUGCCGGGCCUACGGCGCCAACGCCACCAUAGAGAGGCUGGACCAGAGACAGGUGCCCACCCCAGAGAUCCGGGCUCACCGGCUCUACUUUGACCUGUCGGCCUACGGGGUAGAAGCGCUCCGGGACCACAAGAACCACGCCUCCAAGCCCGGCUUCCACCUGAAGAUCUACGGAACCUUGCGGAGCCGCUACAUGGCGCUGGUGUGCCCGGCCUCCGACACCAAGAUGGUGCGCUUCCUGUGUCACACCGCCAACGCCUCGAUCAUGAAGAACAUCUUCCACCAGUCCUUCAACGCCUACAAGACGGACAUCGAGCCGCGGCUCAGCGACCUCACGCUGCACCGCCUUCAGUGCAGCCGGCGCCUCUUCGAGGUGCAGCUGUCGCACCGCCAUGUCAGCGCGGCCUACAUCCAGGGGGACAACGUGGCCGUCACCGUGGAGGGCGAGGCCGCCCGCGUCCUCAACUUCGACACAGGUUGUGGUGUGAAUCUGGGCAUGCGCGGUCUUGAGUCUCUGAAAACGUUUAUCUACAAGACGGCCACAGCUGUCGAUCAGAACGACGUUCUAGAAGCGCUGGCCGCUAAAAUCAAACACUCCCGGCAAGUAUCAGAGACCUUCAAGCAGACGGGCCUGUUAGAGUCCAUGUACGAGUAGGCCUCGAAGCUUGUGAAGAACCAAUAUCGCCACCUUGUGGUGAGAUGAGUGCUACUGCACUACAAUGUUGAUAAAAUGUCUUUACCAGUGCUGUGAUGAGUCUUAUGUUUACUGAAUCGAAAUAUGGGUAAAAAAUAUUAUUAUUAUACAGCAUAACAUACAACCAAUGGACUGCAAUUAUGUGGCGCUCUCCUAAAAUGGCCACUCAUAGCGCUUUACAAUUAUUGCGUAAUAUUCACCCAUUCAUACACACAUUUACGGUUUCACCAAAGGAAAGCUCGUCGGGAGCAGUCGGGGUGAGGCGUCUUGCUCAGGGACACCCCGACACUCAAGUCAAGUCAACCCGCUGGAACUCUUGAGCUACUGCCGCCCAACCGGGUUAGUUAAGAGACAUUAACCAACAGUUCAUCACAACUAAAAAUAUUUUCAUAAAAGAAUGUCAAGAUUAGCAGCCUUUUUCUUUUUUUGAUGCCAAUAGCAGCAAUUGUAAUUUUUUUAUUUAUUUUUUUAUUCAUUGUUCAACUAUGUUGGGGAACCUUUGUAUAGUCACUGUUUAUACACUGUCUUGAUGUUGCUCCGCUUAAAUAAACUGUCAUUGUGCUAUGCUUUUCUUAGUCACAGAUUAGAAAAAUGCAGUUUCAGGUGUUGAUGUAAUAAUUACACACUGGCCAGACAUUUAUUUGGGUUAGGAUUAGGUUAGAUAAAUGAACCGAUAGUAACACCUGUGUUUAGAUAAAAUGUUCAGCAGAUCUAAAGGUGUUUUCAUUGCAGGUGUGCACCAGUUGGUGCUAUAUAAAUGGUACCUAGUUCCUAUAUAGGUCCUAUAUAUGGGACCAGAUAAUAUAUAUCUAAGUUGCAUUUAUGAGUCCUUAUAAUGGCUGGGGUCAGAGGUUAAAGUGCCACAAAAUAACUUGUUAGUGCCAGUCAUCCGAAUAAAACAAAGAUGAAGAUUGUAUUAUUUCUAUGAAAUCGGUUUAUUUGUUUAAUAAAAUUAUUUUCAGCCAUAUAUGCAUCCUUAUUUGUGUGUGGACAUUGAUCGAACAUGGGUUGUUUAUGUGGAUAAAGUUCAGCAAGAACAAUUGAUACCUUCGGUAGAUUUUUUAGUCCAAUUCCUCCACUGAAAAGGGUGGAAAGUGCUUACAACUCUCUGCUAGUUAGCGAUCUAUGACACUGUUGUUUUUUAAUUGGUCGUCUUGAAAAAAAACAUAAGGGGUAACACUGUUGUUUUUUAUUGGUCGUCAUGAAAAAAACAAAAGGGGUAACACUGUUGAUAUUUAUCAAAUAAAACAUAGGGGGUAACACUGUUGUUUUUCUUUGGUCGUCAUGAAAAAAAACACAAGGGGUAACACUGUCGUUUUAAUCAAAUGAAACAUAAGGGGUAACACUGUCGUUUUUUAUCGGUCGUCAUGAAAAAAACAUAAGGGGUAACACUGUCGUUUUUUAUUGGUCGUCAUGAAAAAAACAUAAGGGAAAUAAUAGAAAUAGACACAUACAUUUUAAUGUCAUGUAUAUCCUCUUUAUUGAUGAUUGAAUAUUGUGUAUUGUCAUCGCCUCAGUGGUGCAGUGGAGUGUGCUCUGCCUAACCCACAGGCGACCGCGGGUCAAUUUCUGUGGAAAACACAAUAUCUUUAAUUUUAAACGUAAUGCUAUCAUGUCUAUUGCAUAUAUAUUGUCAUAUAUAACCACAGACAUAUUUAUAUUAUUUAUCUCAGUGGGAAGUGGAGAGAGCUGUGAGCUAACCCCCUGGAGACCGGGGUUCAAGUCUGGUUGAUGUCCUCUGUUGGAAGACUCUUAUCUGUAUUUCAUGCGAAUUAUAAAGUCAAGUAUAACCUUUGUGUUGAGUUUAAUCGGUGUCUUGAUGGUGCAUUGUUAAGUUCGGAGGUUAAUACUCUAAACAGCUCAGGUUCGGAUCUGCGCAAAAACGUCGACAGGGGUACCACUGUUGUUUUUUAUUGGUCAACAUGGAAAAACAUGAGAGGUAACUGUCGUUUUUUAUCGGCCGUCAUGAAAUAAACAUAAGGGGUAACACUGUCGAUAUUCAUCAAAUAAAACAUAGGGGUAACACUGUUGUUUUUUUUUGGUCGUCAUGAAGAAAAACAAAAGGGGUAACACUGUCGUUUUUAUCAAAUGAAACGUAAAGGGUAACACUGUCAUUUUUUAUCUGUUGUCAUGAAAAACCCAUAAGGGGUAACACUGUCGAAAUGUAUCGAAUAAAACAUAGGGGGUAACACUGUCGUUUUUAUCACAUGAAACAUGAGGGGUGACACUGUCCUUUUUCUUUGGUCGUCGUGAAAAAAACCAUAAGGGGUAACACUGUUGUUUUUUAUUGGUCGUCAUGAAAAAAAACAUAAGGGGUAACACUGUUGAUAUUUAUCAAUUAAAACAUAGGGGGUAACACUGUCGUUUUUAUCAAAUGAAACAUGAGGGGUGACACUGUCGUUUUUCUUUGGUCGUCAUGAAAAAAACAAUUAGGGGUAACACUGUUGUUUUUUAUUGGUCGUCAUGAAAAAAAACAUAAGGGGUAACACUGUUGUUUUUUUAUUGGUUGUCAUGAAAAAAAACAUAAGGGCUAACACUGUUGUUUUUUUAUUGGUCGUCAUGAAUAAAAACAUAAGGGGUAACACUGUUGUUUUUUAUUGGUCGUCAUGAAUAAAAACAUAAGGGGUAACACUGUUGUUUUUUAUUGGUCGUCAUGAAAAAUAGACAAGGGGUAACACUGUCGUUUUUUAUUGGUCGUCAUGAAAAAAACAUAAGGGAAAUAAUAGAAAUAGACACAUACAUUUUAAUGUCAUGUAUAUCCUCUUUAUUGAUGAUUGAAUAUUGUGUAUUGUCAUCGCCUCAGUGGUGCAGUGGAGUGUGCUCUGCCUAACCCACUGGCGACCGCGGCUCAAUUUCUGUGGAAAAAACAAUAUCUUUAAUUUGAAACGUAAUGCUAUCAUGUCUAUUGCAUAUAUAUUGUCAUAUAUAACCACAGACAUAUUUAUAUUAUUACUCUCAGUGGGAAGUGGUGAGAGCUGUGAGCUAACCGCCUGGAGACCGGGGUUCAAGUCUGGUUGAUGUCCUCUGUUGGAAGACUCUUAUCUGUAUUUCAUGCGAAUUAUAAAGUCAAGUAUAACUAUUGUGGUGAGUUUAUUCGGUGUCUUGAUGGUGCAUUGAUAAGUUUGGAGGUUAAUACUCUAAACAGCUCAGGUUUGGUUCCCCGCAAAAACGUCGACAGGGGUACCACUGUUAUUUUUUAUUGGUCAACAUGGAAAAAACAUGAGGGGUAACUGUUGUCUUUUAUCGGCCGUCAUGAAAUAAACAUAAGGGGUAACACUGUCGAUAUUCAUCAAAUAAAACAUAGGGGUAACACUGUUGUUGUUUUUUGGUCGUCAUGAAGAAAAACAAAAGGGGUAACACUGUCGUUUUUUAUUGGUCGUCAUGAAAAAAAAACAUAAGGGGUAACACUGUUGUUUUUUAUUGGUCGUCAUGAAAAAAAAAGAUAAGGUUUAACACUGUUGUUUUUUAUUGGUCGUCAUGAAAAAAAACAUAAGGGGUAACACUGUCGUUUUUAUCAAAUGAAACGUAAAGGGUAACACUGUCAUUUUUUAUCUGUUGUCAUGAAAAACCCAUAAGGGGUAACACUGUCGAAAUGUAUCGAAUAAAACAUGAGGGGUGACACUGUCCUUUUUCUUUGGUCGUCAUGAAAAAAACCAUAAGGGGUAACACUGUUGUUUUUUAUUGGUCCUCAUGAAAAAAAACAUAAGGGGUAACACUGUUGUUUUUUUAUUGGUCGUCAUGAAUAAAAACAUAAGGGGUAACACUGUUGUCUUUGUCAAAUAGAAUAUAAGGGGUAACACUAUCGUAUUUUAUUGGUCGUCAUGAAAAAAAACAUAAGGUGUAACACUGUUGUUUUUUAUUGGUCGUCAUGAAAAAUAACAUAAGGGGUAACACUGUUGUUUUUUUAUUGGUCGUCAUGAAUAAAAACAUAAGGGGUAACACUGUUGUUUUUUAUUGGUCGUCAUGAAAAAUACACAAGGGGUAACACUGUCGUUUUUUAUUGGUCGUCAUGAAAAAAACAUAAGGGAAAUAAUAGAAAUAGACACAU